UACGGAGGAUGCGAGCGUUAUCCGGAUUUAUUGGGUUUAAAGGGUGCGUAGGCGGUCCGUUAAGUCAGCGGUAAAAUUGCGGGGCUCAACCCCGUCGAGCCGUUGAAACUGGCUUGCUAGAGUGGGCGAGAAGUAUGCGGAAUGCGUGGUGUAGCGGUGAAAUGCAUAGAUAUCACGCAGAACCCCGAUUGCGAAGGCAGCAUGCCGGCUUCCGACUGACGCUGAAGCACGAAAGCGUGGGUAUCGAACAGG
This 252-nucleotide ribosomal RNA is filed under the name uncultured Bacteroidales bacterium. Its description in RNAcentral is "partial 16S ribosomal RNA". It matches the Rfam family "Bacterial small subunit ribosomal RNA", at positions 524 to 776 of the family's 1533-position model. The record is from RNAcentral. Lineage: Bacteria; Pseudomonadati; Bacteroidota; Bacteroidia; Bacteroidales.